This 239-nucleotide ribosomal RNA is filed under the name Newcombia cumingi. RNAcentral describes it as "partial 16S ribosomal RNA". The record is from RNAcentral. Lineage: Eukaryota; Metazoa; Mollusca; Gastropoda; Stylommatophora; Achatinellidae.
UUGAAGUCGAGAAUGAAAGGAAAAAUUAAAGUAAACUGUCUUAAAAGUUUUUUUUGGAAAUUAUUAAUAUGGUGAAAAUUCCAUAAUAAAUUUUAAUAGUCGAGAAGACCCUAUGAAUUAUUAUUAAAAAUUUUAUUUAAAAAUUUUAAAUUUUUGUUGGGGCAACAAAAAUUUUUAAUACUAAAGAAGUUUUAUAAGUUAAUCUUACAUUUGAAAUUUUAUUAUAAAUGAAUUUAAUU